Molecule: long non-coding RNA, 204 nt
Filed under: Elaeis guineensis (African oil palm)
Lineage: Eukaryota; Viridiplantae; Streptophyta; Magnoliopsida; Arecales; Arecaceae
Description: long non-coding RNA (EGUI_LNC008440)
Source: RNAcentral
GAGGUAGUCACGUACACUGCUGCUCUAUGUGUUUGGACUUCUGGUGAGAUUUUGGGCUCCUUAGCUAGGGCUAUUAUGCUAUUGUCUUUGCAGUACUAUGUCAGGGCAUGAUAUCCAGUUCUAUAACUAACAUUAGAGCCAGAAUUCAUCCUACAUAUCUACAGCAUGCUAAGCCUCCAUUGUUCGAUUACUUAGAACCCUUUC